CUGCUUUAAGGAAAAACCGAAUAAAGAUUUCAUGUUU
Non-coding RNA from Mus musculus (house mouse), 37 nucleotides. NCBI's taxonomy places the organism in Eukaryota, Metazoa, Chordata, Mammalia, Rodentia, Muridae. The record is from Rfam.